RNAcentral lists this ribosomal RNA (253 nucleotides) under uncultured bacterium. Its description in RNAcentral is "partial 16S ribosomal RNA". It matches the Rfam family "Bacterial small subunit ribosomal RNA", at positions 524 to 776 of the family's 1533-position model. The record is from RNAcentral.
UACAGAGGUCUCAAGCGUUGUUCGGAUUCAUUGGGCGUAAAGGGUGCGUAGGCGGCGCGGUAAGUCGGGUGUGAAAUCUCGGAGCUUAACUCCGAAACUGCAUUCGAUACUGCCGUGCUUGAGGACUGGAGAGGAGACUGGAAUUUACGGUGUAGCGGUGAAAUGCGUAGAUAUCGUAAGGAAGACCAGUGGCGAAGGCGAGUUCCUGGACAGUUGCUGACACUGAGGCACGAAGGCUAGGGGAGCAAACGGG